Molecule: long non-coding RNA, 712 nt
Organism: Bombus terrestris (buff-tailed bumblebee)
Lineage: Eukaryota; Metazoa; Arthropoda; Insecta; Hymenoptera; Apidae
Exons: 3
Source: RefSeq, a predicted model, not a curated record
UGAGUUACAGUCAGCAUAAUAACCGUGUAUGUAAAAAUUCGAACAGUUUGUAAUAUUCUGUGAUCAUAGAAAUGUGAGAAAAUAAUGGAGAUAUCAGCUUCGCAAAUGGAAAAAUUCAAUAAAAAAGAGGCCGCCUGCCCUGGGAUCCAGACUGUGUCGAAAGCUCAGGCGCUAACCACUGCGCUGUCGUCGUCCGACACUAGUAAGUGUCGAGUGGUGAUAUUUGGCUUGUCGAGUGCCGCCACAGAACGAUAGUAAACGCCCCAUGGUACGUUACAAAUGAUACAGAGGGAUCUGGGAAUACCAACGGUCAAGGAAGCAAUUAGCAGUUAUGCGGAAAGAUACAAGGAAAGAAUAGCAACACACCCAAACCGGCUAGCUGCGGAAACGAUCAGCACCUCAAAUAUGGAAAGAAGACCGAAAAGGAAACACCCAGCAGACCUCACAAAGGAUAUAACCUAGCAAACGCGAGGGUGGUACCCUGCUGGGGGUAACCACCAUCAUGUAAAUGUAACUGUUAAAAAAUUCUACUAAAUGUCCAAAUUGGACAAAUAACUAUUGCCUGAAUAAUUUAUAUUAUAUCGAAUAACUAUUGCUUGAAUAAAUUAUAUUAUAAGUUUCAAUUCAUUAAAUUAUAUUUUAUGGAAAAUCUUUUCUAUUUCAUUUACGACUACAGCUACAGACUACAGACUACAUUUACAUAUGUAUACAG